RNAcentral lists this ribosomal RNA (253 nucleotides) under uncultured bacterium. Its description in RNAcentral is "partial 16S ribosomal RNA". It matches the Rfam family "Bacterial small subunit ribosomal RNA", at positions 524 to 776 of the family's 1533-position model. The record is from RNAcentral.
UACGGAGGGGGCUAGCGUUGCUCGGAAUCACUGGGCGUAAAGGGCGCGUAGGCGGGCUCUUAAGUCAGAGGUGAAAGCCCAAGGCUCAACCUUGGAAUUGCCUUUGAUACUGAGGGCCUUGAGACCGGAAGAGGUCGGCGGAACUGCGAGUGUAGAGGUGAAAUUCGUAGAUAUUCGCAAGAACACCAGUGGCGAAGGCGGCCGACUGGUCCGGUUCUGACGCUGAGGCGCGAAAGCGUGGGGAGCAAACAGG